GUCCACGCCGUAAACUAUCAAUACUCGUUCUCAGCUCUUUAGGAGUUGGGGACCAAGCGAAAGUGAUAAGUAUUGCACCUGGGGGAGUACGAUCGCAAGGUUGAAACUCAAAGGAAUUGACGGGGGGCCCGCACAAGCGGUGGAGCAUGUGGUUUAAUUCGAUGAUACGCGAGGAACCUUACCAGGGCUUAAAUGCAGAACGCAUAUAGUGGAAACAUUAUAGUCUUCGGACGGUCUGCAAGGUGCUGCAUGGCUGUCGU
Molecule: ribosomal RNA, 260 nt
Filed under: uncultured bacterium
Lineage: Bacteria
Description: partial 16S ribosomal RNA
Rfam family: Bacterial small subunit ribosomal RNA
Source: RNAcentral